This 266-nucleotide unclassified non-coding RNA is filed under the name Neodeightonia sp. RNAcentral's name for it is "partial contains 5.8S ribosomal RNA, internal transcribed spacer 2, and large subunit ribosomal RNA". The stretch from base 1 to 52 matches the Rfam family "5.8S ribosomal RNA", at positions 103 to 154 of the family's 154-position model. The record is from RNAcentral. Lineage: Eukaryota; Fungi; Ascomycota; Dothideomycetes; Botryosphaeriales; Botryosphaeriaceae.
AACGCACAUUGCGCCCGCCAGUAUUCUGGCGGGCAUGCCUGUUCGAGCGUCAUUUCAACCCUCAAGCCCCCGGGCUUGGUGUUGGGGACCGGCCACCGCUGACCUCCGGGUCUGCAGGCCGCCCCCUAAAUGCAGUGGCGGUCACGUCGCGGCAUCCUCUGCGUAGUAGCACACCUCGCAGGCGGAUCGCGACGCGGCCACGCCGUAAAACCCCCAUCUUCUGAAAUGUUGACCUCGGAUCAGGUAGGAAUACCCGCUGAACUUAA